This is a long non-coding RNA of Choloepus didactylus (southern two-toed sloth), 2076 nucleotides long. RefSeq lists it as uncharacterized. The transcript has 3 exons. The record is from RefSeq and is a predicted model, not a curated record. NCBI's taxonomy places the organism in Eukaryota, Metazoa, Chordata, Mammalia, Pilosa, Megalonychidae.
UUUAGAUUGAAAUAAACUGUACAAAAUUGAUUUUCUUCACCAAAAAUAAUAGCAAUAUUUUGUGUAUUAUUCCUGGAUAAACCACAAAACACUUAUUUUUGUAGGCUUUCCAGGUUCUGCUUAUAAAUCAAGAUGAGGCAGUAGAUAUAGUCAUGGAAAUAGAAGAAAUCAGGCAAAUCAGUUGUCAGUAUCCAUGACCUCUGAUUCUGUCUUGAACAUGAAACAGAAAUGUUCAACACAUAGCUACUAAAAAGCUUAUGAAGGCAUAGGCUCAAUAAAGGAAUGUAAACAUCAACAACCAGAUGCAGAAAAAGGAAGAAUGCAUAAGACCUUCAACAAAGCAUGAACAUCAGGAAGAAAUGAUGUCAGGCAGAUGGAGGGCUUCAUAAAUGGUGGAAGGAAGCUCUAUAUGUUUCCCUCUGUGUUUCCACUUAAUUCUCAAACAAUGAAGCUCAGCUGAGAGUGUGUCAGGAUUGAGUAAGUCAUUUCUGUACAAGUCAGCAUGGUGUUCCUCUGACAUAUUGAAUUUGAGCUGUCCCAUGACAGAGGGUACCAGAGAUAAGUACUUAAGAGUUUGAGGUGCUGUUCUGAGAAUUUAUCUUUAAGUUACUGAAUAAUGUGCUCCAAUGUUGGAACACUUAGGGUUUCCUUAUAGUAACUCUCAGAGGUUAAUUGAGAUUCCAGGUUACCUUGCUGAGCUCUGUGGAAUUUGCCAGGGAGUUUCAUAAGAAUAUCAAGUUUGGUUGCCUAAUUUGUGUCUUCCUCAAACCAAAAUUCAUGACAAACUUCAAUAUUUUCCACCACUUCAUUAAGUGACUGUGUCACUGCAGUCAAGCUGCUGGCUGCAAAGAAGACAUCAGAGGUUUGCCCCUGGAGAUUUUUCCCAAAGGUUCUUGUAAAAGACAGGACAUUCUUAAGAACAACAAUGGUAAUAAUGAAAUCAAAAUCUGUUACUGCACUACAGAGUACAAAUGCUUGGCCAGCUUUGCAGUUAUUCCAUCUAACAUUUGUGUCACUAUUUAUACCAUCUAAACAUAAAACAAGUGCUUGCAGGAGUUCCACUAAAAUUUCAAAAGCAUCAUGACUUCCUGUCCAUUGAGAAUGUCAAAUUUCCUUCAGUUUCAGUGCAUUUCUUCAUCACUCUGAAAAAGGACUGAAAUUAUACUCUCAAGUUCUAAAAGCAGUUGCAGUGAUCGAUGGAAAAAAGAAGAAACUUCCUCAAUCAUUUCCAAUGCAACAGAUACUCCCAUAACAGGCACUGAUUUUGCUAACCACAUAUUUAAGGCACAGGAAGAGCAGAGUGUAUAGAUAGUUUGGGGAUAUUUCUCUAGAAGUCUAGAAGCAACAACUUUCAUCUUGGAAGAAAAUCCACUGGACACAAUGUAAAUCUGUCUACAACAGUACUCCAUGUUUAGCCCCCACUUCUCAGUUAUUGUAGUGUGAAAAUUCACAGCCAAAAAUUUGGCAUCGGCUUCAUAAGGCAGGAAUCCCACAAAUUCCUCUCUCAGGUUAUGUGAUUCACCCACAAACCUCACCAACACUGGCAGGCGCUCUUCUUCUGCUAUGUCAACCAAAUCAUCAGUGAUAAUGGAAAAGAAGUGUGAGUCUCCCACUUCCCUGAGAGUUUUCUCGUGAAGGCAGCUCUCACAUAUCUCUAGCAUCUGUUUCUGCUGUGUUUUUGAACAGAACAAUGUGUUAACUUCUGUUGUCUCAAAGUGCUUUCUCAGAACAUUUUCCCAGAAUUUACUCAGCCCUCCAGCAAUGCUUGAAAGUUAUCAGGAGUAAAGAGACUUUCUGGGAGUUCAUCAGCCUCAUGCCCAUCCAGAGUGUCCUGAUUUCAUCUUCACUCUGGCAGGGUCCCACAGGAAGCUGAAGAAGACUAGGUCAGACUGCGUGCUCCUCCACGUGCCAUUGGGGGCAGUGCAGAAGUUCAGCAUUGUCGCCCACCCACCGGUGGGCCCAGUACUUCCUUCCCUGCAUCCUCAGGGCAGCCCACCAUCCCACUGGGGCCAGGGAGGGGAGCCAGGCCAGCCAGCCAGCUUGGCAGGGCUGACCAUAUACAUAUUUUUAAUUGUU